GACGAACGCUGGCGGCAUGCCUAACACAUGCAAGUCGAACGAUACCUCCGGGCGUAGGGGCGCACGGGUGCGUAAGGCGUUGGAACCUGCCCUUAGGUUCCGAAUAACUCCCCGAAAGGGGUGCUAAUACCGGAUAAUCUCUUCGGACCAAAGAUCUAUCGCCUUUGGAUGGGGCCGGGUUUGAUUCGCUGGUGGGUAGGGUAAAAGCCUACCAAGGCGACGAUCCGUAGCUGGUCUGAGAGGAUGAUCAGCCACACUGGGAAUGAGACACGGCCCAGACUGCUACGGAGCGGAGCAGAAGGGUGCACUGGAGACUGGGCGAAGGCCUGAUCACGCAAUGUCGGGUAAGUGAUGAAGGCGGUAGGAAAGUAAAGUUCUUUUAGACGGGGUGAUAAUGACAGUACCGGGAGAAUAAGCACCGGCUAACUACGUG
RNAcentral lists this ribosomal RNA (433 nucleotides) under uncultured bacterium. RNAcentral describes it as "partial 16S ribosomal RNA". It matches the Rfam family "Bacterial small subunit ribosomal RNA", at positions 28 to 507 of the family's 1533-position model. The record is from RNAcentral.